GACCUGGUGGUGAAAGGUAUCCCGUCCACAUUGUAUACCACUCCUCUCCUUCGGUGUAUGUGGAAGUCUCUGGUUCGAAUCCAGGCUAGGUCG
Non-coding RNA from Mycena epipterygia, 93 nucleotides. Lineage: Eukaryota; Fungi; Basidiomycota; Agaricomycetes; Agaricales; Mycenaceae. The record is from the annotation of a GenBank genome assembly.